Cotesia glomerata is the source of this 387-nucleotide long non-coding RNA. RefSeq lists it as uncharacterized. The transcript is spliced from 2 exons. The record is from RefSeq and is a predicted model, not a curated record. Lineage: Eukaryota; Metazoa; Arthropoda; Insecta; Hymenoptera; Braconidae.
UUUGUCAUUUUAUUUAUUUAUUUAUUUUUUUAGAUUUGUUUAGAGAAAAAAAUUUAAUAGCUUUUUUUUAUUGCAGAAAAGUAGCUGAAAAUAAAUGAAUAGAAGGUAUUGUUAGUGUGAAUAUAACCUCACCAGUCACUACUUAUCUUCAGAGUCACCCGACAGAGAGUUUUCAAUAAAAUCUUUAUACCUGAGUCAGGCAAUUACUUAAAAGCGACCAUAUGGCUUAUUUUCACGCCGGCAAACUUUUCCACCCCCAAAUGUUAAAUCCUUCAGCCAUUUAAGUUUCGCAGAUAAUUUUAAUUUUCGAUGACGAAAAAUUAAAGAAAAAAUUGAGAAAUAAAAAUGCGCAAGCACGUGGAAAUGGUGGAUAAUAUUUAACGAAAA